AUUCGACUGCCACCGGGCAGCAACUUCAGGUACUUUUUACAAUUCCGUUAGGUCAUAGAAGGAAUUGUGAGGGGUACCCUUUUUCU
Molecule: non-coding RNA, 86 nt
Filed under: unclassified sequences
Source: RNAcentral